This 81-nucleotide small RNA is filed under the name Marmota monax (woodchuck). The record is from RNAcentral. Lineage: Eukaryota; Metazoa; Chordata; Mammalia; Rodentia; Sciuridae.
GCCGGGUGUGGUGGUCCAUGCCUGUAAUCCCAGUGGCUUGGGAGGCUGAGGCAGGAGGAUCAAGUUCAAAGCCAGCCUCAA